GUGGGGAAGCUGGUGCUAAAGCAUUCAUAGACGACCUGCUUCUGGGUCGGGGUUUCCUAUGUAGCAGAGCAGCUCCCUCUCUGUGAUCUAUUGAAAGUCAGCCCUC
RNAcentral lists this ribosomal RNA (106 nucleotides) under Ailuropoda melanoleuca (giant panda). RNAcentral's name for it is "similar to 28S ribosomal RNA". Lineage: Eukaryota; Metazoa; Chordata; Mammalia; Carnivora; Ursidae. The record is from RNAcentral.